This is an RNA transcript of Sapajus apella (tufted capuchin), 9632 nucleotides long. RefSeq lists it as uncharacterized. The record is from RefSeq and is a predicted model, not a curated record. NCBI's taxonomy places the organism in Eukaryota, Metazoa, Chordata, Mammalia, Primates, Cebidae. The transcript is spliced from 3 exons.
CCGUCUUGCGCUGGCCCCUCCCGGGAGCUUCACGAGCGCCUUGGCGGGACGCCUGGCGAAGGGCGCGGGCAGGUGGUUUGUGGGAGGCUGGGGCACAGUUGAACUGCAAGGCGCAAACCGAUGAGGGGUAUCUGCUUUUCCCCAGUGCGCCGUCGCUCGUGUCGGGAAACCGGCAGCGUGGGCGGGCAGACCAGGAAACGGCGAGAAGUUUUGGCGACGAGCUGGAGUCUUCCUGGAACAGAGAGAAAGCGCGGAGCCCGCAGCGGGCUUCUCUGGCAUCGGCAGUCUACGUGCUGCUCACGCUGGCUCGCUGCUCUUGUGGAAUUUUAAAGGAUUUAGACGAAGGGUCUCGUUAUUUCUUGAAUCAUAAUUUCUGCCGCCAUAGGGAAGUGGACAGGUUGAGGUGGUCUUUCUAUUUAUCAUUCACUCUUAUUUUCAGCUUUUGUUUUAUGUACUUGGGAAGUCUUUAACCUCUCACGUCUUUAAAAUUCCGGUGUGAAAGUGACCCCUGAAGCCUCAUGCACUCAACUCGUUUGACGUGUUCUCUCUUGCCCUUGUCUGUUGUCUUGAGUCUCAUAGCAUAUGUUUGAAACUUUCACUGUCGGUUUUGGAGGAGCCACUGUGGAUAUUGACGGGGCAAGUGACAGGAUCGUCAGGCUUGUAGAGAGAUUAUAUAGCAACCAGGUGUCUGAAAGAUUCGAGGCAGGGGAAAGAGUGGGAAAGCAGUUCGUAGGCUAGGGUAUUUGUGCGUGAGGUGACACGCAAAGCUAGUGGAGGCAUUAGAGCAGGGGUUAGCAAACAUUUUUUGUAAAGAGCCAGAUUAUAUUUUAAGUCUGUCUAAAAUACUCAACUCUACCUUGUAAUAAGAAAGCAGCCAUAGACAAUGAAUGAGUGUGGCUGUGUUCCAAUAAAACUUUAUGGACGUCGAAAUGUUAGUGUAAUUUCAGGUAUCAUGAAAUAUUAUUUUGAUUUAAAAAAUCAUUUAAAUAUGUAAAAACUUUUUUUUUUUUGGCCUUGGAGGUGUGUAAAAACAACUUGUAAGCCAUAUUGCUGAGCCCUGCAUUAGAGGUACUUGAAGAGUGACACAAUUGGUGAUAAGUGACCAUAUAUUCUAUCCUUCAAUAUGGAACACUUUUGGAAGUAAACAGGGCAUUAAUAAUUAUAGCCAGAGAAGAGGAAUUAUUAAAUCAAUUUAUAUCAGGCAAACCUAAGUGAAUGGUCCCUAAGGUUAAGGGUUAGGAGAAGUCAAAAUUGCUUUAGGACUUGGUAACAGAAAAUGGGAGGUGCCAGUGUUGGAAGUAGGAAGAUAAAGAAGAAACUGGUUUUGAGGAGAAGAUAGCUAUAGCAGUCCCAAGAGCCAUAUACAAUUGGGACAGCAUUAAUAGGAAGAAAGAAAGCACCCAGAACCAGGCCACUCCUUAUAUCUUAUUGACCAGAACUGGGCUAUUAGCUAUCCCUAAAGCAGUAACAGACAAGGAGUAUGGGACAUCCAUGAUUACCUAGUGUUUAUCUAUCUGGCUUUUCCAGUUCUUAUGCAGGACCGUGUUGGGCGUUGCUGGACAUUCAGCAUCUCUGGUUCCUUCCAACUAAAUAUCAGUAGCACAUCUCAGGCAGUGUGACACCGUAAAGCAGCCCAUUUCCUCUCCUCCCCCCAGAGGUGUGAUGCUUGUUGAGAACCACUGGCUUAGGCUCUCAGGAUUUACUUUGGGGCUGAAUUAUGUGUGUGUAGAUUUCUUUUCCAAUUGGUUUGGAGGGAAGAGAGGAAUUGGACAGUAUUAAAGUUAUGUUGUCACGGAAGUGGGGUGGAGAAUGUUAGCUAACCAACAUUGGCUGCCACGGAAGUAAAAAGUUUUCCUUUAUACCCUUGCUAAAAUAAAUCUCCCGACUUCUUCACAGUUGAAGGCUUCCCAAAACCGGAGCUUUUUUGGAUUCUCAUUGUUUGCCCCUUGAACUGGGCUAGUUGGGAGUUCUUAUUUUCCACUCUAAGUAACAAUCUCUUGUCCCAGUAGGAUACUCCUGCUUUGAAUACCUCAAUAACUUUGCAAUUGGUGACUUGUCAUCAGUUUUCUCCUACUUCAUUCCUAUACAAAGGGACUAGACCUGUGUUCUGAUUUCCCUUGCUGAGACACCAAUCUCCAGGGGUGCUCUGUAAUGUAAAGAGAACAUUUCAGAAAGUUCAAUUGGCACUCAAGGGCCUCCAUAAGUCCCUGAAUGGCUUCCCUGCCUUCCCCUUCUGCAGCAAACAAUUCCUUGGAUACUCUCUAUUAAAUGAUACAUUUCCCCUGAUGAUACCUAGUCCCUUGCCCCGUUUAUGCUAUGUGCAUUUUCCACUCUAGGACUUGGCUCAUGCUGUUUCCUCACUGAGAGUACCCUUCUCAUUUCCAGCCACACAGUUUCCAUUAACUUCCCAUUCUUUCGCUUAAUUCUACCUCCACCCAAGGCCUCUAACUGUAUCAGCCCACAUUAACCUGUCUUCUUUGAAUUUCUAUGUAUUCCUUGCCUAUGCCAUCCAUUUUGGCCUUUUAUUUUAUGUUCUUGACUUUUCUGUUACUGAAACUGUCCUUUGGAUCCCAAGAUUUCCCCUUAUCCUCUGUGAAGGCUCUUUUUUUGGACUUCUUUCUACCCUCCUUUUUCUCUUUAUAUACCUACCUUGCCUAAAGGACAUCUACAAGAAUCCAUCAUCUAGAUUAUUUUCACCUAUUAGCGUUUUUUCCGACACUUCAUCUAUUUACUGAUUUACCUGUAAUCUCGCCUGACUUUUCUCUGGAAGAUUUUAGUACUAGCCACCAAAUAUUUUUGUUUCUUUUUCCACACACAUAGUAGAUUUAGAUUUCCCUACUCCAUUUACCUCAAGAGGGCCAAUAAAAUGUGAUUGGAAAUGACUUGUGUCAUUUACAAACAAAAGCUUUAAGAUCCUGUAAACAUCUCUUUGUUUCUGCCACAGUGAUUAAAUAUUUUAAUUAUCUAUUGUCCCAUGACAAAGCACCUUAAAUCUUAAUGGUUUAAAACAGUCACCAGUUUAGGUUUUGUGGGUUGACUAGGCUCAUGGGCAGUUGUCUGAUCUUACUUAGGGUCUGUCUUGUGGUUCCAGCCGGGUAUUGUCUGGGGCUAGAGUAUUUGGAGACUCAGCUGGGUUGCUAGAAUGGCUGAGCCUUUCUAUUUACCAGAAAGGAGUCUCUGUUCCAAAGAUUCCCUGAUUCACAUUGCGUCUUCAGUAGAGUAGCCUGACUUCUUGCAUGGUGGCUUAGGAUUCUCAAGUGCAGAAAAGCAAAAACUUCCAGGUUUUAUAAGUCUCAUGCCUGGAAAUGACAUAUUGUAUUGGUAAAAGUGGUCACAGGGGAAGCUCAGUUUUAAGGGGAGAAGAAAUAAACACUUUGAUAGGGGCGGAGGAAGAGUGACAAAGAAUCUGGCCAUCUUUAUUACAAAAAUUUUUGUCAACCACAGAGUUCCAGGAAAAUGUGGCCAUCUUUAUUACUCUAAUGAUGUUUCAAAUUGUGUAGGCUUCUAUCAGUCAGGGUCUCAGAGAAAGGAAAAAGUGGAAAAGAGCUCCCAGUUAACACACAUAAAUAUAUGAAUAAGAAGCACAUCUCUGCUAUUCUAAGUCACUGAACUAUUUGGAGUUGUUUGGUAUCAACUUUUGCAUACUAACAUAAAAACUGGUACUGGAAAUAGGGUGGUUUUAUAACAAAAAUCUAAAAUAUGAGUCACUGAUGUAUAUAAUAAUUGUGUUAGAAAUAUUUGUGGUUGGUUGGUAGGCAGUGUCCAGCUCUGACUUACUUAUACAUUUCCCAGUGAAUCUAGCUCAGAAGUUUGCACCAUGAUAUUCAAUAAAUAAUUCUUAAAUAAGAGAGAUUGUUGUAUUUUUUUUCUAUUUUAGGGAAUAGAGAAUUUUUUUUUCCAUAUCACACAUUUCUUGAAACGUAGAAGGGGUGCCAUGAAUCUGUUAUUUGAUGCUCUGUUCCAGUGCCACCAGUGAGUUUCCUGAUGUGUAAGUUUGGCUCAUGGGCAGCCCACCUUCUUACUUCCCCUUUCUCUCGGGAGCCAUCCUGUUCAUGGAAAGUGUGUUUUCUCCUCUGCUACCUCAUACAAGUUUCAUAGGAGUCUGCUCCUGCCAAGGGAGGCUUGGAGUAAGCUGAACAGCAUCAGCUCCUUGGGGGAAGGGAAAUUUCAGGUUUGGGAGCUAAGUUCACUUCCAGGGAGUGACAAAGCCUGUUGUUUGAACUUUAAUUUACAGAGUGAAAGAGUUCAAUGUUGGCCAUUAAUGAUUUUGGACUUUAACAUGAAGUUGAUACUGAUUACUUUGGGCCAUAAUUUAGAAGGACAGAGUGAUUUAAUCUCUAAACUUUUAAUUUCUCUCUGGAAAAUUAAUAUUGAGAGAGGGUCAAAAUCAAAUUGAAGAUAUCUUGUUGGUUCUUAAAGUAUUUGAUCAUAUUUUAGAAAUUCUGAUAACGCUGGACAAGCUGACAGGACAUAGUUUGAGAUGGCAGUAGAACACAUUGUGACUUACAGCCUUGGGUACAGAAUAGCAUUGGAACUGAUUUAACUGAUAUGUUGUUCUGACCCAUUCAGAGCGUUUUGGGGACAGAAUCUACAGUUUACCAGUGGCCCCAGAAUGUCCUACAAAAGAGGUGAAAUCAGUAUUGGAGAAGUGGUCUUAUGAAGAUGGGAGCAGGACUACUCCAAUUGACUGCCGACUUCUCACCCAAUGGAAUAACCACAUCCCAACCUGAUCUCAGUGGAUAAGCCCAUAGGGUUAAGAACCCUCCUAUGGUUAAUAGUGAACAGAGUGGUACUCUCAGAGUCGAUUCCACAUAGGAUCUGGCAUUGGAUGCCUUGCACAUAAGACCAGCCUUACUGCAUAUUCAUAGAAUGACUUGGUCAAGCGAUGUAACCUUUACUUCAGUUUCUUCAUGUGUAAAAUGGGAAUGAAAACUUCCUCCUAGAGGUCGCAUAUGACAAUAAAGUGAGAGACACAUGAAGAAGAAAGUAUAAAGAAUGAGAAAUUCUGCUUCCUAGAAAUAACUACUGUUAGAGUUUUGAUGAACAUUCUUUGAGACAUCUUGCUUUACAUACACACACAUAUAUAUUAUACAUACAUAAUUUUACAUAAAUGGAUUUAUAAUAUACUUACUAUUUGUAACCUGCUUUUUUUUUUUUCCACUCAGCAGUAUGUCAGGAACUGGUUUCUCUAUUAAUAAAUGUAGGCCCACAUAGUUAUAUCCAAUUGUAGCACAGUGUUCAAUUGUAUCACCAUAUAACUAAUCCCUUAUUAAUGGAAUUUAAAUAAUUUCCAAUUCUUUAAAACAUUAUAAGCAAUCAUUGUGUCCAUAUAUCUCUUAGCGUGCAUUCCCUGGAGGUGGAAUUGCUAGGUCAAAGGAUGUGAGCAUUGAAACUUUUGAGACAUAAUGCCACACUUGGCUCAAAACCAACCCCCUUAAUUCAGGUGCUAUUGAUGUCCUGCCCAUAUCUUCUUGGCCCACUCUGGAGGCCUCUCAGAUGGAACAAGCUUAUGGCCUAUUGAGUGUCUCUGCCAGGAAUAUUCACUAGCUGUGGAGCCUAUCCACACUCAGGGAAGCAUGAAGUGCCGGAAGUGCAUGGGGAGUUAAUGUGACCCCUAACUACGAAAUGAUGUGAAUUGGUGGAUAAAUGCUUUAGUUUCCUUUCCCCAAGGUGGGACUACUGUAAUGUGUGUUUUAUACAGUCCUUAGGAGAAUUCAGUCUAGUUGCCUGUAGUACUAUCCUGCUCAUUAACUCACAAGUUAUUUGCUUUCCUCCCUUACUACCUGACUGCCCCACUCCUUUACUGGGGUUCGUGGGACUUUUACUCAAAUCCUAGUCUCAGGGUCUGCUUUUGCAGGAACCCAAAUGAAGACAUCCCUUCAUAUUAUAGGUGAAAGCUGGGGCAGGUAGAAUAAUGGCCUUUUAAAGAUAUCCAUAUCUUAGAUUGCAGGAACUUGUGAAAAUGUUACCUUACUUGGCAAAAGGGACUUGGCAGAUGUAGUCAUGUAUGUAAUCACAUCUUAAGAACCUUGAGAUAGGAAAGAUAUCCUGGAUUAUCUGGGUGGCCCUGAUAUGGUCACAAGCGUCCUUAAAAGUGGAGGAGGGAGGCAGAAGAAGAGAGUCAGAAGGAGAUGUGAAGAAUCAGUGAUACAAUAUUGCUGGCUUUGAAGAUGGAGGAGGGCCAUGAGCCAAGGAGUGUGGGUGGCCUUUAGAAGCUGCAAAAGGCACCAAAACACAUUUACCCCUGGACCCUCCAGCAAGGAACCUAGUCCUGCUGACACCUUGAUUUUAGCCCAGUGACUUCUGUAUUGGACUUCUAACCUACAGUACUGUAAGAUAAUAAAUUUGUGCCACAUUUGUGGUAAUCUGUUAUGGCAGCAAUAAAAAACUAACACAAAAAGUUAAACAAUACAAGGCAACAGAUGCCAGAAGCAUCAUAUGGCAGUGCUUAUUGUUCCAAAAGAGGAGCAUGAACAAUGAGGCUGAGAGAAGGAUGAAAUCAUGAAACUUGUUCCUUCCUCUUGAGCAUAGGGUGGUUUGUUGUGGGUGUUUAGGGUAGUGGCUCAAGGACCACUAAAUAUAGGCUUGUGGCCAGAAACUCUCCCAACGAGCUGAGGGUUUGUAUGAAUUUUAAUUUACUUGAAAAUUCCACCAGGUUUCUAAAAACUUUAGUGUGUGUAAAAAUUAUCUGGGAAAUUAAAAAGUUAAAAAAUCAUCUGAGGAAUUUGUUCAAAAUGUAGAUUCUUGGAUCCCAUUUGCCUGAGGUCCUAAUUCAAAGGUCUGGAAUAAGGUCCAGGAAUUUGCAUUUAAAACAAGGUUAUUCUGACACACAUUGCUUUAGGGGACUUUCCUACUAGAAACCCCUGCUCUUUGGCAGUUGUGGGGGAGGUCUAUAUAACACCCACUUUGUCAGGCAGUUUGUGUAGGUAAGAUCUGAAGAGAAGGGAAUCACUAGAAAUUGUCAAUUAUUGUAUCAUGUCCAAAUAUCCUACUUUUGUUUCUGUUUUGGGGUGUCAGUCACAACAAUCAUUAGCAUCAACUGGAAGCCUGAAUGUAAUAGAUGGGGUGGCCUGUGUCACCAGAGACAGAGCAUCUGGGCCCUGGGCCCCUGAGGAUUGUCUGAUCUUAUGGUUGGUUUGCUUACAAUAGCAUUUCCUCAUUUGGCUGAUGGGCAAAUCAUUUUCAGAUGACCUUGGAGAGCCAGGGCAGUUCAGCUGUUACUAACUGGAAGCUGCACACUCAAACAUUUGGAAUAUCCUGAGGAUUACAGAUGUGCUGAAGGAUGUCUUGGAUUUCCUCCAAUGAAGGUUUCAGAGGUCGCCUGAAAAGAAUGCUCGCCUCUGCCUCGUGCCUUUUAGAAGGAGGCUCUGUGCUUGUCUAGCUUUAUGCAGCUCUCUGAAAUGUCAGAAGAUAAGAAAUGCCUCUCAGCAUGAAGGCUUCCAGACACAUAUGUGACAAGAAAUUUGGCAUCAGCUUUAUAAGUGUCAGAUGUCUAGGAUAAAGCAAUAUGGGUAUAGUAUUUCUGGUGCUAUUUUGGUGCCUUGUGCAUGAGCCUGCAGCAUUAGAAAAACUGCUUUUCAGCUUUGGAUGAUAGCCUUACUGGCACUCGGCAUGCAUGUCUGAAAGUACAGUUGGGUUAUAUUCUAGUUAUGGUCACAGCAAGUCACCUAGAGUUGUGAUAUUGAGCUUUAAGGGGGUGCCCUUGAGGCACAUGAGCAUUUCACAGCCUUUGACAACUUGAGUGGCACAGCCACAGAGACUGUCAUCAGAUGGUGCCAUAUAAGCCUUAAUCAACUCUUGCAACACCCGUGCAAAGUUGGUAAACACUCUUAUCCUCACUUUUCAGGCAGGGAACUAAAGCAAGGAGAGGUCCAACAGACAGGGUCACGGACUCAGACAGUUCACUUAUCUUAUUGUUGAGUGAUCUCAGGUGAAUGAGAUCAGAACGAAUUUCUACUUUCUCUAACUCAGGGAAUGUGUCUCCUGGCGAGAGAGCAUUUUUGGCACUUUGUGACUUGCUGAAAGACUUGAAGUUCCCAGUCUGGCUCUGGCUGUUCAUUGGUUAAGAGCAAAUGCCUGGGGCACUUGGCUUAAUGACUGUCAUAAGCAGUGUGAAAAAAUGUGUAAGAAAAAACAAAAUAUGGUAAUGUAGAGAGGUUGUUAUGGCAGUAAUAUCCAAUAGGAAUGUUAUGUAUAAAGUCUGAGUGAUAAUACAACCCUCUUACCCAAGGUAUUUGAUACUGGCUGAGGGCUCUUUUAUUUAUUUAAAAUCCAGUGAUGAGCUCUGAACACCAUAGCUUAAGAAGAUAAAAAAAUACUUGCAGUGGAGAGUUUCCUGAAUGAUUCAAAAGUGGAAGUAGAAGACCCAUGAGAAAAGAUGACAGCAUUGUUCUUAACUUGUGGAAAGAAAGUUGAUGGAAAAUUAUGAGGUCUAUAAAUAUAUCACAAGGUUUUUAGAGAAGACAAAUUAAUUUUCCAUUGAUGACAAAACUUGAAAAAGUGGGUUUAUCUUAGAGCAUAAAGGAUUGCAAGAGUCAUAGGAAAGAAUCUUUUGGUGUUAAGAAUGGUUAAAAACCAGACUAGGCUACCUAGAAAGGAAUUCCCCUUUUCUGAAGAUCCUUAGUAAAUAGGCUAAACCAGCCAGGCAUGAUCAAGGUUAAUGAUGUCAGCUGGUGUCUCUAGUGCCCCAAGGUGGGCUGCCUGGUAGUGAUGGUGGUAGGAUUACUUUUCUUUCAACUUUUUAGUUUGAAAUAACUUUAGAUUUACAGAAAAGUUACAAACUAGUAUAGAGAGUUCCCAUAUAUCCUUCACCCAGCUUCUCCUGAUAUUAGCAUUUUAUACAACCAUGAUCAAAUGAUGCAGUGAUCAAAACCAAGAAAUUAACAUUGCUGCAAAAUGGUGGUAGGAGCUUUGAGGGGAGGCAGAAUAGGUAAGAGUGUGGACUUUCACAAUCCUUCCAUGGGGCAGACCGCUUUUAUUAUUUGUUUAUGUUGGAACUCUGCAUACUAUUUUAUUUAAACAAAUAGUUCCAUUGCCAGAAUUUGAAAACCAUAUUUAGGAAGAGAGAUAGUUAAACUGACCUCUACUACUAAGAUUUUGUGCUUUUGAUAAUUAUAUCAUUUGUCAGAUAAUUAGAGGGUAAAUGUGUUUGGUAAAGACAUGUAUGGACACAACAUAAUGCUACAUAUACAUUUUGUUCAUUUCUUUAUUCAGGCUUGUUCUGCCAUAAGCAGGUUAUUGAUACUUGCUUGCUCUCCAGCACCAAAAACCAUGACUGGCACAUAGUCUAUGCUUAAUUAACAUUUGUUCAAUGGAAUCAAAUUGGCAUGUUCACCCUUUUCUCAUUUCUUCACAUGCCUGGCUUUUUAUUUAAAUAUCUGUAUAGGCCUUCCCUAACCAUCCAAACUAAAAUAACCUUUUUCUAUUAUCUCUCACUUUCUCUCUCUUUUACCUGGCACUAUUUUGUUGUUAUUAUUCAGAGCACUCAUCAUUAUUUGAAAGAUGGCCUAUUUGUUCAUAUGUUUGUUAAAAGUGUAUGGUCUGUCUCCUGCUAACAGUAAGCUCCUUGAGGACAAUGACAUUGUUUUGUUGAAUCUUUAUUGAUUCUAGGGAAUGGUAUCUGGUACCUGAAA